UGGCAUUUUUAGUGGGUGUGAGAAGA
RNAcentral lists this non-coding RNA (26 nucleotides) under Rattus norvegicus (Norway rat). Lineage: Eukaryota; Metazoa; Chordata; Mammalia; Rodentia; Muridae. The record is from RNAcentral.